RNAcentral lists this ribosomal RNA (253 nucleotides) under uncultured bacterium. Its description in RNAcentral is "partial 16S ribosomal RNA". It matches the Rfam family "Bacterial small subunit ribosomal RNA", at positions 524 to 776 of the family's 1533-position model. The record is from RNAcentral.
UACAGGGGGUGCAAACGUUGCUCGGAAUCAUUGGGCGUAAAGCGCACGUAGGCGGUUCGUUAUGUCGGAUGUGAAAGCCCUUGGCUUAACCGAGGAAGUGCAUCCGAAACUGGCGAGCUAGAGUACUAAAGAGGAUCGCGGAAUUCCCGGUGUAGAGGUGAAAUUCGUAGAUAUCAGGAGGAACACCGGUGGCGAAGGCGGCGAUCUGGGUAGAUACUGACGCUGAGGUGCGAAAGCGUGGGGAGCAAACAGG